Long non-coding RNA from Panicum hallii, 2570 nucleotides. RefSeq lists it as uncharacterized. The record is from RefSeq and is a predicted model, not a curated record. NCBI's taxonomy places the organism in Eukaryota, Viridiplantae, Streptophyta, Magnoliopsida, Poales, Poaceae. The transcript is spliced from 7 exons.
AUGCAUGUAUAACCUCCUGGUUUAUUGCGACAUACUCCAUUUUUACAUGGAUAUAAUUCCUUAUACUUUGCAUCCAACUUACGCAGCUUGCACUCGUCUAUAUCUGAAGAGUUUUCAAAUGGAGUAACAUAUAUUAAAAUAUAUGAAGAAAAAGAUCAUAACGGGGAACUACUUCAAUGUAUUAUGCAUGCUUAAAAAAUGUUGAACAGCUAGUUCCUUUGAAUAAAUACUUAACCUUGGCAGCCUUCGUGAAGAUAAGGAUUGCCCUCGUAGCCUUGGUUGCAGUUGCACAGGUAGCCUGGGCCAUUGCUUGCAUUCACACAAUAGCUGUUUGAACUGACACAGGCAUAGUCUGUAUGUGCUUUUGCCCCAUCUUUUGGACAUGAGCCGUCCCUUAUGGCCCAGUCAGCAACCACAGGAACACCUCUUGUGGCUCUUUCCUUUAUGAACGUAAGGUGCCCCGCAAGGUCCUCUUUGCUGAAGCUGUACCACCCAACCUCGACAAGCAUAGCAUAGAAGCACGGGUUGAAUUUCCACACACUGCUCCGGUUGGGCAGUACUGCUGCAAAAUCAGUGAGAUUGGGGGAUAUUGCGGUCUCACAGCAUCCCAAGCCAGCACAUGGCGCGUUUUCAGACGUGCUGUUGAGUCCUUGGCAGUAAGAGUAGCAGCCAGCUACAUACUGGUCAGAGUCAGAGUUGUUGUGCAUGUAGCCACCAAUGAGCCCCAGGGUGUUGCAGCCGAUGACCGUGAAGUGGUUCCGGGUGGUAGAGGGGAUGAAUGGCGUACUGUUCAGGUUGAAUCCAGUGGGGUGGUUAUCUGAUAUGAUGGUGUCUGAUGUGAAGCAGGUGUAGCUGACAUCGUUGUAAACACGCAUCAUGCCAUGCUCCAGGGAGAUGUUGAUGACCUCUACAGAUUCCGUAAUGUCACCAACCGUAGGCCGGGAUGGCUGGAAGGUGUUGUUGCAGGUCACAAUGAAGUAGGGGUUCCGGCUGCUCGCGGCACAGUGAUCACCGAUGCCGAAGGGGAUGAAGAUGAUGAGCACCAGGAAGAUCAUUGCUUCUUCCAUGGCUGGAGAGUGCGGGUGUCAAUGUCAGACUCGUUUGUGUGUCUAUUUUUUGGCAGAAUUUUUGGGGCCACACGAAACAACACUUGGAAUCCGACACCGAUGUCCAAAUCUGACACAGGUGCAGUGUCUAAGUCGGCAAAGAAAAAUAGGACACGGGUGUCUGGUUAACAACGGACUACUGGACAAGUAAAGGAUCAUAUAUGCAUUCAACUGCUUGGAGGAACAUAUAUGCAAUGGAAUCCAAUACCAUAUUUCCAUGAAUUUGGGGGUGUCUUCAUCACGUCGACGAUCAUGCAUUUGGGUUCGUCUGCUUAGUGGGAGCAAUCAAAAUUGAUCAUACAGAGGAGCAAAGAACUCAAAAGAAGCAUGCUGGUCGUUGGUUGGAUGGAAAUGGACCACAAAAGAGUAUUUUGCAGCAAACAGCGACCGGGGAGACCUGUGGAGUUGUGCGUGUAUGCGCCGCGACGACGGCACUGUCUCCCCGUCCACCGCGGGCUCCCCCCGCCGAAGACGGCGCCUCCCACCGUGCCCCGGCUGUACCUUGCCUACCCUACCUCCUAGCUACAUUGUCUUCAUACCAGUGGUUGUCCUCAUCGGCACUGGAGUGCAGUGCAGCUACGCUCCAUCAUCUGCCGCAGGCCGCAUGCUGCCAGUCUCCUGAUUGGCAAUUUAGCAUAGUGCCCAGAGAUCACAGACAGAUACAGCCAUACACUGUCACAGUCUCCUGAUUGGCAAUUCAGCAUUCACCACCACUGGAAUCGUCGGGAACAACCAAUAGCGACAGCCACUGCCCACUGAUCAGCAUGCACAAAUUGUUUAUCCUUAUUCUGCAUAUCAGCUAGAUUUGGCUUGCAAAUAGUAUAUAUUAGUUAUUAUACUUGUAAAGGAGCAAGACCUAUACAUUUCUUCAGUUCACCGUACCAGUUUCAGCCUGAUAUGAGUUUCCAGGUUGUAGAUUGUUGAGUCUGGAGAAGCCAGCACCGAUCUUAAGGUUUAUCUACGUGCAAGUUGUACGUGCUGGAUCUUCUUCGGCAGUUGCUAGCUACAGUUUGAGGCCUUGCCUUUGUCUUCCAAACUGGAAGCAAAACGCAAUUAUGGAUCAGCUUGCUGAGAGAGAUUUAGACGGCAAGGAAUUUGAAGAAAGGAUCAUAUCUGCAUGUCUUCUGCUGCUUGGAAGAAGAUAAUUUCACUAUAUUCCCAGAUAUUUUUUUAAUCCUUUUUAAAUUUUAUUUUAAAAAUAACCCACCGAACAAAUAUUUGUACAUCUAACGCUUUUGGUCGCGCGCCGGUGCUCGUGGCGCAACAAAAACAUGCUAUCGUGCCACAUGCAUUGGCGUGACAAUGUGCCACGCUAGAGCGCGCGGGAAGAGUCUGCCAGCGUAUAUUCCACGUGUCAACUUUGUCACGCCACUCCCACCGGCGUGACAAUGGUCUCACCUUAGACUUUGUAGUUUGGAGUUUUUUCAUUUGAAGUCAAUAAGAUGCUUAAAUAAUUAAUUUAAA